RNAcentral lists this long non-coding RNA (1620 nucleotides) under Zea mays. RNAcentral describes it as "long non-coding RNA (ZMAY_LNC004042)". The record is from RNAcentral. Lineage: Eukaryota; Viridiplantae; Streptophyta; Magnoliopsida; Poales; Poaceae.
GCAGUUUAAAAAACAACUGAUAUAUGUUUUAACCAAUAUAAAGUUACAAAUCACAGAUCACACAUAGACAAAUCAUAUAUCACACCUAGGUUCAUCAUAAACAUAUACAAGAAGAAGUUGCUGAAUAUACAGACUUGCACAGACCGCUCCUGGCUACUACUAGGUUCAGUGAAAAUAAACACAUCACCUCGUGCAUUUUUGGGCUAAACAAUCUAAGGACAUUUUAUGAGAACUCAUCCGCUUCAACAACUUUCAGACAGUUGUUCUCAUGGAAACCACGAGUACUCUUCUACCUCCUCGAGAUUUCGUUUGGACAAGUACGUGAGCAAGACCACCGAUGAAAGAACCUGCAUUGACAACCAUUGGUGCUGGCCUUCGUUGAUGCAUCACGUAUCAACAUUUCUCUUCCUUGAGCCCUGUCAUUCAGUCACUGUCCCAACCUUCAUCAGUAUUCUUCUCCGUUGCCAAUGUUUUCCCUCUUGUCAUCACUAUCCUCACUGCUGCUGUCAAAAUUCGGGAAACUCGCCUUUGGGGCUCUUGAGUUCGCCUCUUCCCCCUUGUAAUCUGACACCCACAAGUCAUCGUCAUCAGCGUCUAACUCAUCACCGUUGCUGCUGCCUCUGGACAUAGUGCCAUCGGAAAGCAUCGACUGAACUCCCUGGAAUCCGAUUAGACCCUCUGCAUCCCCUAGGAACAGAAAUCUCUCUGCCACUGGAUCUGCUCCUCUCAUUCCUCAUCGGAAGCAUACCCUCUCAUCCUCGUCACCACCGGCCACGGCCGGCCUCCACCGCCGCCUGCACACCGCUCGCUACUCUCGCCCCCCUUCCAUAUCCAUCAAGAACAAGAAAAAAAUGAGGAUGGGAGAGCUCAAUACUCACCGGUGAGAAGGUGCCGGGGAGGCUUGCCGUCGGGGCUGCGCGGCGCCGGCCCGCCGUCACCUCGCGCCGCCACGCAGUGACCUCGCACCGUCCUCAUGCGUCGCCAACGUCUCGCCGUCGCUUUGGCCAGGAAUCGAUCCGGAGGAGACGAGGCCAGGGUUUGUGCCGGUCCUUGGAGGGAAGAGAAAGUCAAAACCGGGCCGAGUUUACUUCCGGUUCAGGCCCAAACGAACGGGAAUAGUGAUACCUACCAAAUUCCAAUCCGCAAUCCGACGGAAACGAACGGGCCCUUAAUAGAAGUGUUGUUCACACGGCCAGCCCGGAUCGAAGCCGGCUGCCAAUACGCCGUCGCUGUCCCCGCCGGCCCACCGCUCCACCGGCCGCGCAUUGCGCCGGUUGUUUCGCCGUCGGAACCGGCCGGUUCCCAGCCCGGAUCAUCAGUCGAGGCCCUCAGUUCUUCGAUUCGCCACUGUGGGCCUGUGGCUGACCGGCCGUCGUGAUAUCAGUACAUGCACGCCUCUUUCCAUUCGCAAAUCACAAGAGAGACAAGCAACAUGCGCGCUCGGGGGCGGCGGCGGCGGCGGCAUCGACGAGAUGUCGAGGUCGAGAGACCCGCAAAAACACGGGGGGCCGGGGCAUGCAAGUGCGGGACCCUGCAUGGUCAAGAUCCUAAGUACAAAAAUAAGUCACUAAGCUCUGACUUGGGAGGCCAGUAGUGGCCAGGCCAUGAUAGUUGUUUAUC